RNAcentral lists this ribosomal RNA (479 nucleotides) under uncultured bacterium. Its description in RNAcentral is "partial 16S ribosomal RNA". It matches the Rfam family "Bacterial small subunit ribosomal RNA", at positions 28 to 523 of the family's 1533-position model. The record is from RNAcentral.
GACGAACGCUGGCGGCGUGCUUAACACAUGCAAGUCGAACGAUGAAGCCGGAGCUUGCUCUGGUGAAUUAGUGGCGAACGGGUGAGUAACACGUGAGUAACCUGCCCUUGACUCUGGGAUAACUGCGGGAAACUGUAGCUAAUACCGGAUACGACCCUCGGAGGCAUCUCCUGGGGGUGGAAAGAAUUUCGGUCAAGGAUGGACUCGCGGCCUAUCAGCUAGUUGGUGAGGUAAAGGCUCACCAAGGCGACGACGGGUAGCCGGCCUGAGAGGGUGACGGGCCACACUGGGACUGAGACACGGCCCAGACUCCUACGGGGGGCAGAAGUGGGGAAUAUUGCACAAUGGGCGCAAGCCUGAUGCAGCAACGCCGCGUGAGGGAUGACGGCCUUCGGGUUGUAAAGCUCUUUCGUCCGGGACGAUAAUGACGGUACCGGAAGAAGAAGCCCCGGCUAACUUCGUGCCAGCCGCCGCAGUAA